AGCGAACGCUGGCGGCAGGCCUAACACAUGCAAGUCGAACGGAUCCUUCGGGAUUAGUGGCGGACGGGUGAGUAACACGUGGGAACGUGCCCUUUGGUUCGGAACAACUCAGGGAAACUUGAGCUAAUACCGGAUGUGCCCUUCGGGGGAAAGAUUUAUCGCCAUUGGAGCGGCCCGCGUCUGAUUAGCUAGUUGGUGAGGUAAAGGCUCACCAAGGCGACGAUCAGUAGCUGGUCUGAGAGGAUGAUCAGCCACAUUGGGACUGAGACACGGCCCAAACUCCUACGGGAGGCAGCAGCGGGGAAUCUUGCGCAAGGGUGGAAUGCCUGACGCAGCCAUGCCGCGUGAAUGAUGAAGGUCUUAGGAUUGUAAAAUUCUUUCACCGGGGACGAUAAUGACGGUACCCGGAGAAGAAGCCCCGGCUAACUUCGUGCCAGCCGCCGCCGUAA
This 449-nucleotide ribosomal RNA is filed under the name uncultured bacterium. RNAcentral describes it as "partial 16S ribosomal RNA". It matches the Rfam family "Bacterial small subunit ribosomal RNA", at positions 29 to 523 of the family's 1533-position model. The record is from RNAcentral.